Molecule: ribosomal RNA, 499 nt
Filed under: uncultured delta proteobacterium
Lineage: Bacteria; Deltaproteobacteria
Description: bacterial SSU rRNA
Rfam family: Bacterial small subunit ribosomal RNA
Source: RNAcentral
AGAGUUUGAUCCUGGCUCAGAACUAACGCUGGCGGCGUGCCUAAUACAUGCAAGUCGAACGCGAAAGUCCUUCGGGAUGAGUAGAGUGGCGCACGGGUGAGUAACACGUGGGUAAUCUGCCUUGAGAUGGGGAAUAACCCCUCGAAAGAGGGGCUAAUACCGCAUAAGACCACAGCUACUAAGGUAGCAGGGGUUAAAUGGGGCCUCUAUUUAUAAGCUUUAGUCUCAAGAUGAGCCUGCGCAGCAUUAGCUAGUUGGUGGGGUAAUGGCCUACCAAGGCUACGAUGCUUAGCUGGUCUGAGAGGAUGAUCAGCCACACUGGAACUGAGACACGGUCCAGACUCCUACGGGAGGCAGCAGUAGGGAAUAUUGCUCAAUGGGGGAAACCCUGAAGCAGCAACGCCGCGUGAGUGAUGAAGGCCUUCGGGUCGUAAAGCUCUGUUGUACGGGACGAACGCGGGUGGCGAUAACAUCUCCAUCCAGUGACAGUACUGUAUAA